This 253-nucleotide ribosomal RNA is filed under the name uncultured bacterium. Its description in RNAcentral is "partial 16S ribosomal RNA". It matches the Rfam family "Bacterial small subunit ribosomal RNA", at positions 524 to 776 of the family's 1533-position model. The record is from RNAcentral.
UACGUAGGUGGCAAGCGUUGUCCGGAUUUACUGGGCGUAAAGAGCGCGCAGGCGGUCGAGUAAGUCGCGUGUGAAAGCCCCCGGCUCAACUGGGGAGGGUCACGCGAUACUGUUCGACUCGAAGGCAGGAGAGGGUAGUGGAAUUCCCGGUGUAGUGGUGAAAUGCGUAGAUAUCGUGAGGAAGACCAGUUGCGAAGGCGACUCUCUGGGCAAUUCCUGACACUGAGGCACGAAGGCCAGGGGAGCAAACGGG